CAGCCGCCGCGGUAAUACGUAGGUGGCAAGCGUUGUCCGGAAUUAUUGGGCGUAAAGCGCGCGCAGGCGGUUAGAUAAGUCUGAAGUUAAAGGCUGUGGCUUAACCAUAGUACGCUUUGGAAACUGUUUAACUUGAGUGCAAGAGGGGAGAGUGGAAUUCCAUGUGUAGCGGUGAAAUGCGUAGAUAUAUGGAGGAACACCGGUGGCGAAAGCGGCUCUCUGGCUUGUAACUGACGCUGAGGCUCGAAAGCGUGGGGAGCAAACAGGAUUAGAUACCCGAGUAGUCCCUGUCUCUUAUACA
This 301-nucleotide ribosomal RNA is filed under the name uncultured bacterium. Its description in RNAcentral is "partial 16S ribosomal RNA". It matches the Rfam family "Bacterial small subunit ribosomal RNA", at positions 509 to 808 of the family's 1533-position model. The record is from RNAcentral.